This 441-nucleotide ribosomal RNA is filed under the name uncultured bacterium. Its description in RNAcentral is "bacterial SSU rRNA". It matches the Rfam family "Bacterial small subunit ribosomal RNA", at positions 355 to 786 of the family's 1533-position model. The record is from RNAcentral.
UGAGGAAUAUUGGUCAAUGGUCGCUAGACUGAACCAGCCAAGUAGCGUGCGGGAUGAAGGCCCUCCGGGUCGUAAACCGCUUUUUAGACGGGGAUAAAAGGGCGUACGUGUACGCCGUAUUGCAUGUACCGUCAGAAAAACGGACCGGCUAAUUCCGUGCCAGCAGCCGCGGUAAUACGGAAGGUCCGGGCGUUAUCCGGAUUUAUUGGGUUUAAAUGGGAGCGUAGGCGGACUUUCAAGUCAGUGGUAAAAUUCGUGUGGCUCAACCAUACCUCGCCAUUGAAACUGGAAGUCUGGAGUGCACACAGGGGCUGCCGGAAUUCAUGGUGUAGCGGUGAAAUGCUUAGAUAUCAUGAAGAACUCCGAUCGCGAAGGCAAGUGCCCGGGGUGCAACUGACGCUGAGGCUCGAAGGUGCGGGUUAUCGAACAGGAUUAGAUACC